ACUGAGACACGGCCCAGACUCCUACGGGAGGCAGCAGUGGGGAAUUUUCCGCAAUGGGCGCAAGCCUGACGGAGCAACGCUGCGUGUGGGAUGAAGGCCUGUGGGUUGUAAACCACUUUUCUCAGGGACGAACACAAUGACGGUACCUGAGGAAUCAGCCUCGGCUAACUCUGUGCCAGCAGCCGCGGUAAGACAGAGGAGGCAAGCGUUAUCCGGAAUUAUUGGGCGUAAAGCGUCCGUAGGUGGUCUAGCAAGUCUGGGGUUAAAGCCCGGAGCCCAACUCCGGAUCGGCCUUGGAAACUGCCAGACUCGAGUAAGGUAGGGGUUGCGGGAAUUCCCGGUGUAGCGGUGAAAUGCGUAGAUAUCGGGAAGAACACCAGCGGCGAAAGCGCGCAACUGGGCCAUUACUGACACUGAGGGACGAAAGCUAGGGGAGCGAAUGGGAUUAGAUACCCCAGUAGUCCUAGCCGUAAACGAUGGUGACUAGAUGUGGCUCGUAUUGACCCGAGCCGUGUCGUAGCUAACGCGAUAAGUCACCCGCCUGGGGAGUACGCACGCAAGUGUGAAACUCAAAGGAAUUGACGGGGGCCCGCACAAGCGGUGGAGCAUGUGGAUUAAUUCGAUGCAACGCGAAGAACCUUACCAGGGCUUGACAUCCUGCGAACCCCGCUGAAAGGUGGGGGUGCCUUCGGGAGCGCAGAGACAGGUGGUGCAUGGCUGUCGUCAGCUCGUGUCGUGAGAUGUUGGGUUAAGUCCCGCAACGAGCGCAACCCGCGUCCUUAGUUGCCAGCAUUUAGUUGGGCACUCUGGGGAGACUGCCGGUGACAAGCCGGAGGAAGGUGCGGAUGACGUCAAGUCAGCAUGCCCCUUAUGCCCUGGGCGUCACACGUGCUACAAUGGCCAGCACAAAGGGUAGC
This 917-nucleotide ribosomal RNA is filed under the name uncultured Cyanophyceae cyanobacterium. RNAcentral's name for it is "bacterial SSU rRNA". It matches the Rfam family "Bacterial small subunit ribosomal RNA", at positions 318 to 1250 of the family's 1533-position model. Lineage: Bacteria; Bacillati; Cyanobacteriota; Cyanophyceae. The record is from RNAcentral.